RNAcentral lists this long non-coding RNA (257 nucleotides) under Marmota monax (woodchuck). Lineage: Eukaryota; Metazoa; Chordata; Mammalia; Rodentia; Sciuridae. The record is from RNAcentral.
CAUCCACUCCAUGCCAGGAAAAGCCUGCCUUGGCUCCGGACCUGGUCACUGCGGUCUAAGUGAGUGUGUAUCUGCUGGACAUAAAGCCUAAGGCUUGAGACUUUUGAACUUAGCAUGCAGAGGGAAUGUCUGUCAUUAGCCUGUCAUAAUUGUGUUUUCAGUGCUUAGAAUUAAUCUAGAAUUGUUUGCUCUGAAUUAAUCAAUCUAGAAUUGUUUGCUGUAAAUUGAUUAUGUCUAUUGCAGUGCCUAGCAUUAAG